UUUUUGUCGUAACUUUAAAAACUAAUACAUAAAGUACAAUGGGUGUUUACAUCAGCUUUAUCUCUGCUUCGGCCUUGGGAUAUUAGUUAAACUAGAACACUAUAUUA
Brassica oleracea var. oleracea is the source of this 107-nucleotide small nucleolar RNA. It matches the Rfam family "Small nucleolar RNA snoR97". NCBI's taxonomy places the organism in Eukaryota, Viridiplantae, Streptophyta, Magnoliopsida, Brassicales, Brassicaceae. The record is from Rfam.